CAGCGGCCCUAGUGGUGAUCGUUAUUAUUGGGCCUAAAGCGUCCGUAGCCGGUUCGGUAAAUCUCUGGGUAAAUCGUUGGGCUUAACUCAACGAAUUCUGGGGAGACUGCCGAACUUGGGACCGGGAGAGGUCGGAGGUACUCCAGGGGUAGGGGUGAAAUCCUGUAAUCCUUGGGGGACCACCGGUGGCGAAAGCGUCCGACCAGAACGGGUCCGACGGUAAGGGACGAAGCCCUGGGGCGCGAACCGGAUUAGAUACCCGCGUAGUCC
This 270-nucleotide ribosomal RNA is filed under the name uncultured archaeon. RNAcentral describes it as "partial 16S ribosomal RNA". It matches the Rfam family "Archaeal small subunit ribosomal RNA", at positions 477 to 747 of the family's 1478-position model. The record is from RNAcentral.